CUCCAAUUAGCUCAGCUGGAAGAGCGUUCGACUGUAAUUGAGAACUUCAUUGUUAUCGAAAGGUCACCUGUUCGAUCCAGGUAUUGGAGA
This is a non-coding RNA of Zalaria obscura, 90 nucleotides long. The record is from the annotation of a GenBank genome assembly. Lineage: Eukaryota; Fungi; Ascomycota; Dothideomycetes; Dothideales; Zalariaceae.